Molecule: non-coding RNA, 1138 nt
Organism: Podarcis lilfordi (Lilford's wall lizard)
Lineage: Eukaryota; Metazoa; Chordata; Lepidosauria; Squamata; Lacertidae
Source: the annotation of a GenBank genome assembly
CUCCCUUGGUAGUGUGUUUAGGAUGGCAAACUAGAGAAACACCUAGGAACAGGCAAGGGAAGAAGCAUGGAUCCUAGCAUUAGCCUCCCAUUUUUAGAAUGGGUCAGUUACUAUAAUUGCCAUUGCUCACACUAGUGGUAGGACAUCCAGCCCUGGACAGCAGGACAGAAAGCAAAACUUCUGAGCUGCAAAAAUAAACGCAGGUAUUGAUGUGCAGUAAUAAUAAUAAUAAUAAUAAUAAUAAUAAUAAAUUACUUAUACCCCGUCCAUAUGGCCGGACCUCCCCAGCCACUCUGGGUGGCUCCCAACAGAAUAUUAAUUUUAAAAAGUGACAACAUCAAACAUUAAAAACUUCCCUAAACAGGGCUGCCUUCGGAUGUCUUCUAAAAGUCAGAUAGUUGUGUAUUUCCUCAACAUCUGGUGGGAGGGCAUUCCACAGGGCGGGUGCCACUGCCGAGAAGGCCCUCUGCCUGGUUCCCUGUAAUCUUACUUCUCACAGUGAGGGAACCGCCAAAAGGCCCUCGGCACUGGACCUUUGAAGGAAACUAUCCCAAGUGAAUAUGCGUGCAGAGUAAGAAAGGUCUAAGGCUUGGUCCAAUUGUGAAGAUGGGAAAAUAAUAUCUAUUUAAAGAGACAAUUAGAAUGCAAUGCUAACCCCGCCAGGGCAGCAGAGGAGCUUCCUUCAUUCCACUGCUUGUUCUGGACAGGGAGGAAGGAGGACAGAAGGAAAAAACUUAUAUUUUUACAGUUUAGGCAGGCGCAUUAAGGACGUCUGCAGUAGAGGAGCUUCCCACCAGUGGAGAGCAGCCAAGCCAGGCAGAGCUGGACAGAGGGACACCACCUCAUCCAUAUCAACCUCUAUGAGAGUUUGGAUUGUUCUGCCCAUCAGAGAGCCAGAAGGAGAAACUAGAGAAGAUGUCAAGGAAGCCUGAAGAGGAGAGAACAAUUCUGAAUGCCAGUGACGGGAAGAAUGAAGUUGAAGACGUGUAAACUGCAGUGACAACUGAUAAAGCUGGUGAAUAAUGAAUGCCUUGUUGUGAUGAAAUAGAGCCAUAUGUUUUAACAGCUGAUUUAUACCUGUUCUUUUUUUAUUACUCUUGGCAUUCUGUCUCUGGUUUAUAAAUUGCCUCGGAACGAA